AUGGGGAUCUUUUUAACUGAAGAGGAGCUCCAGCAGGCGCUGAAGCACACGGACAUAGAUGUGGAGGGGAAGGUGAAUUUGAGUGAAUUCAUGAAGAGUGUCCAGCGAUUGUCCGAAGCUGAAGGGGAAAAGGUUGAUGUCGAUAACCUGGACUCCAUUCUAGCCAACACGGGGAUCCAUUUAACUGAUGAGGAGUUUCAGAAGGCGCUGGGGGGUGUUACUCGUGGUGCGGACGGAAAGGUGGAUUUGAAACACUUUAUGGAGAGCGUGAUGGGCACCCAGCGGCCUUCCUGGUGUGAAAGGGAUACAGUGGAUCUCCAGAACCUGGACUCCAUCCUGGACAGCAUGGGGGUCCAUUUAACCAAUGGGGAGCUGCAGGAGGUGCUGAAACAUGCUACUCUUGAUGCCAAUGGGAAGGUGAAUUUGCGCGAAUUUAUGAAGGGAGUGAAGACUAUCCAGAAAUUGCCCCCAGGUGCGGAGGACAAAGUGGAUGUGGGGAACCUGGACUCUGUCCUGGCCAGCAUGGGGAUCCAUUUAACCCAGGAGGAGCUGCAGGAGGCACUGAAGCACAGCCCGGUUGACAGAGACGGCAAAGUCGGCCUGAGUGCGUUUAUGAAGAGUGUGAUGAAUACGCGGAGACCCUCCCAGGCGGAGAGGGAUAAAGUGGAUCUCCAGAACCUGGGUGACAUCCUGCGUAGCAUGGGGGUCCAUUUAGCCAGUGAGGAGCUGCAAGAGGCGCUGAAACAUGUGACUGUUGAUGCUGACGGGAAGGUGAAUUUGGGAGAAUUUAUGGAGGCAGUGAGGACUGUCCAGAAAUUGCCCCCAGGGGAAGGUGAGUGA
This is a long non-coding RNA of Chelonia mydas (Green sea turtle), 840 nucleotides long. RefSeq annotates it as EF-hand calcium binding domain 13. NCBI's taxonomy places the organism in Eukaryota, Metazoa, Chordata, Testudines, Cheloniidae. The record is from RefSeq and is a predicted model, not a curated record. The transcript is spliced from 10 exons.